UCAUCAUGCCCCUUAUGAUUUGGGCUACACACGUGCUACAAUGGACAAUACAAAGGGCAUGCGAAACCGCGAGUCAAGCAAAUCCCAUAAAGUUGUUCUCAGUUCGGAUUGUAGUCUGCAACUCGACUACAUGAAGCUGGAAUCGCUAGUAAUCGUCAGAUCAGCAUGCUUCGGUGAAUACGUUCCCGGGUCUUGUACACACCGCCCGUCACACCACGAGAGUUUGUAACACCCGAAGCCGGUGGAGUAACCAUUUGGAGCUAGCCGUCGAAGGUGGGACAAAUGAUUGGGGUGAAGUCGUAACAAGGUAGCCGUAUCGCAA
RNAcentral lists this ribosomal RNA (322 nucleotides) under uncultured bacterium. RNAcentral's name for it is "bacterial SSU rRNA". It matches the Rfam family "Bacterial small subunit ribosomal RNA", at positions 1190 to 1510 of the family's 1533-position model. The record is from RNAcentral.